GAGACCCACUCUCCUAAGGCGAAACAUUCAUCCUUACGGAAAUUGAGUUUGAUACUUCACCCUUUAGUGGCUGGGGGAAGACAACAAAUAGAAGAAAUGACUUCUCGAUUCAUGGCUCCUUGUUCAGUCCAAUAUACAGAAGUCUCUGACCCAGCUACCAAACACUUGCUGCAAUUUCCAGCAACAUGGAAUUGUGAACUUGAAUUUUAUGAUUUGGUAUAAAUAAAAAGUAAGAAAAUAAAUGGAUGCAAAGCUCAAACUUCACAUGGAGCCAGCUGCACCGUGGUGCAUGUGGGGUCUUAGUUUCCCCAUCAGGGAUCUAACUUGCACCCUCUGCUUGGGAGCAUGGAGUCUUAACCCCUGGACCACCAGAAAUAAGAAGAAAUUCAUAAACACCCCCUGCCACCCGUCACAGAGAUCCACCAUUGUUAACACCUCAGUAUCUGUACUUUAAGAGAUUUUCCUACGCUAUUAUGUGUAUGUGUGUGUGUGUACUUUUU
Capra hircus (goat) is the source of this 500-nucleotide long non-coding RNA. RefSeq lists it as uncharacterized. The record is from RefSeq and is a predicted model, not a curated record. The transcript is spliced from 3 exons. Lineage: Eukaryota; Metazoa; Chordata; Mammalia; Artiodactyla; Bovidae.